UAGCUACGGAAACAGAACAGGUAAUAACAUUAUAUAUACGGGAUACAUAUAUACUGUAUCUAACUAACAAGAAAGCAAUCUAAAUCAGUGGCUGUAAAAAAACUGCUUUAUGCAUGAUUUCAGUUUCUUUCAUACGGACAAUAUAUCCAUAUUAGGUUUUCCCUUGUUUUUAUCUCUAGCCAUCGCUUCUAAUAACAUUGCUUACCGUGUUCGGUCUUAGAGUAUGUUUCGCGUCAUUUGUACGGACGGGUAUAGGCGUACUUUGCAGAGACAAAAGUGUUAGCCCAGUAGGUCUUUGGAGUAUUGUUUUUUUAACCCUGCUUUCUUUAAUUAUUUUCCACAGGCGUAUGAUGCAACCGCAAUCUAAUUAAGCAGUAUCCCUUCAUAUGCAUGCUCCCAAUAAUACGACAUGGACCUUUUGCUCAAUUAACUAUAGCUGAAAGAAUCUAAAAAAAGGAGCGGGUUUACGGAUCUACGAUGAAACAUAAUUGGGUGCAAUAUUUCCUUUUUUUUAAUUUUAGUAUGCCACAUCUCGAUCGAUAGUCCUUUUUAGGCUAAAGACUAACUUGUUAAAUUGAUCCACAAAAGAGAGGAGCGAGCGAAAGAGAAGCGUGCGUGACAACCAUUAGCAACAAAAAAAAAUAGCACCAUCUGAUCUGGUGGCUGUGAGAUUACCACUGAAGGAAAGAUAGCGUGCAUAUAAAAUUGGGUGUCGACUACACAUAUAUAGGAUUCAUCACCUAGUGGUGGUGUUUGGUCUUUUAUUUAUGUUAUUUAUAAUUAUUCUUCAGAUGUGGGGGUGGGCCAUAUAUUAUCCGUAUGCAGCAUCAGCUUCAUGAAUGGUAGGGACAAAACAUUGUAGAAGUCGCACUGCAGCUACAAUUUGUAGAGACAAAAUACUGUAGAAGUCGCAGCCCCAGCGAACAUGUCCAAGCCCAGGUAGGGUCCAGGAGCUAUGCAGAAUAUCCUCACCUUUCUUUUUGGCUAUAUGAUACAAUAUAUAGUGUGCUCCAUUUCAGUCCAAAUAGCUGUACUGCUUCAUACCAAAAGGGGGGCAUAACCUGUGUACUGCAAUUGUGGGAGAUCAUCCUAUUUGUGCCGUCCUUCAUGUUAGGUUAUAACCAAAGUACAAUGCCUAUUUUUUUAGUAUAACCAAAUUAAGUACCAUGCGUACGUACUGGCAAUAAGAUUUUUUUUUUGGUUUACACUUUGAAAGAUCAUAAAAAUCGACAAAUCUCGACAUUGAUCACCAAGCCACCAUAGAUACAUCGCUAUCGACGACGUAGAUAUCUUCUUCUGCCACUGAAAGAAAAGAAUAUAUGACAGGUCAUGGCUCACGAGUUGUUGAUACGACUGGCCCAGUGCCACGUCACCAACCUUAUCACCCAAUGCCAUGAGUUGCCACGAGACAACGGCGUGAUGCAUCAUGCAUGGCGAUCUGGGCUACGACCUACGAGCCUUGCCACCAGGCUAACCGUAGGUGAGGGACAGGUGCAGGACCUAGUGGGGGUCAUUCAGCACAACGCUAAAAAAAUGCAUGCAUGCAUGGAUGGGCGAGAGAAUGAAGAGAGAGGCGGUGCAAGGAAAGAGAUGGGCGGGGCAGCAGCUGGAUCGAGACCAUGGGAAAAGCUACGCCUACGUACUGAUCUGUGCUGUUUGUUUCCGCUACAGGAAGCUGAAUGCAUGCCAUCCAUGUCCGACUGGCCGCGGGGGUCCAGACGCGCCAUGGACCGACAGCCCAGCGGCAAAGAGGCCCGCCCGCUGCUUGCAUAGCUUGGUCCCGGUGUCUGUACGCGAUCUUCCGUACUACUUAGGCUCAAGAUAAAGAUACCGUAGGUGCAGUGCCCAUGUCGUCUCGUCUCGUCUCCUCUCAGGCGCAUCAGAACAGAUAAAGGCAGCCAGCCAAGCCUACUGGCAGUCUGGCACUGGCACUGCCAUUCGUCGAGGGAUGACUGGCAGGCAGGUAGAUCGCAGCUUUCCUGGUCAGAUCACACAACAUCUUGAACGCGUCAAGAGUGGACGCACGGGGACCAUGCCUGGAUUUCUGGAUCGAUCGAGGGAUGAUGAUGAUCAUCAUCCCAUAUCUAUGUAAGUAUGAUGCAGAUACGUGUCGGUGCCAAGGCACCAACUUCACUCAUUGCCUUCCCCCCGCCCUAGAUAGAUCAGUGACCGGCCGGACUCUGCCCUGGCGUCGACGAAUCGCGCUCUCAUGGUCCGCCCUCCAGCUCGACAGGCCAGGAAAUAAGAUAACGUUGCAUCACGUUGCACUGUACUUGCAGCCCCUCCAGAAUGCCUAAAAGGAGGUGUUGACGCCUUUUCGGAGCGCCAAAUACUCAAGAAGAACCGGCGGCGGUGCCCUCUGCACAGAGGCGGACGGUCCGCGCGCAGGGCCGGACGGUCCGCGGCC
Molecule: long non-coding RNA, 2407 nt
Filed under: Zea mays
Lineage: Eukaryota; Viridiplantae; Streptophyta; Magnoliopsida; Poales; Poaceae
Description: long non-coding RNA (ZMAY_LNC005084)
Source: RNAcentral